RNAcentral lists this transfer RNA (70 nucleotides) under Nessorhamphus ingolfianus (duckbill oceanic eel). Its description in RNAcentral is "tRNA-Arg". It matches the Rfam family "tRNA". From Rfam's summary of the family: Transfer RNA (tRNA) molecules are approximately 80 nucleotides in length. Their secondary structure includes four short double-helical elements and three loops (D, anti-codon, and T loops). Lineage: Eukaryota; Metazoa; Chordata; Actinopteri; Anguilliformes; Derichthyidae. The record is from RNAcentral.
AGACGAUUAGUCCAACGAAAGACAGCUGAUUUCGACUCAGCAGAACAUGGUUCAACCCCAUGAUCGUCUU